GAAAAUUUGAAAGCCAGAUUGACUGACUCUGUUCAGAGAGACAGUCCAGGACUUCAUUUGUUCAUGUUAAAGCUAUUUAGUCAAGAAGGGCAAUGUUGACACCAUCAGUUGAUUACCAGGAAAGAACCUUGAGUUAGAGCUCCCAAGAAACCCAAGUUCACGUGUGAAAAUGGAAAAAUAUUCUCACCUAGAACACAGGGAAGUCUUGAGAAGUUACUGGCCUGUACCUGUGGAAUAUGCAAGAUGGAAAGUAAAUAUUGUUAACUGGCAGCAGAUCUGUGAGAAUGCAGAGUUAUUAUCUAAGAAAGUCAAUUCAGU
Molecule: long non-coding RNA, 318 nt
Filed under: Cricetulus griseus (Chinese hamster)
Lineage: Eukaryota; Metazoa; Chordata; Mammalia; Rodentia; Cricetidae
Description: lncRNA (ENSCGRG00000026381.1)
Source: RNAcentral